CCCGCCUGCACCCAGGUGAUUAAAAAGCUUUAUUGCUCAUACAAAGUCUGUUUGGUGGUCUCUUCACACGAACGCGCGUGACAGUCUUAAUAUGAGAUGAUACUGGGUUAUACAGGUGGGCAAAGAGGGCCAAACAAAACAAAACAGAACAAAUCAAAAACAAGGAAACAUGAAGAUAGAAACAGGUUGGAGUGACUGUCCUUGAAAGCAGAAGUAGCUACACUCCAGGGAAUGCAAGUGGCCUCUUGAAGGUGGAAACGGCAAAGAAAAGGAUUCUCUCCUGAAGCCCCCAUGAGAAAGCGGCCCUGCCAGCACUGUCAGACUUCUGACCUCCAGAACUUGCCUGUGCAUAGUAGAUGCUCAACUUGUUGAAGAAUCCUGUAAAAUAGAUGGCAUGCUCACGCUGCAAAUGAGGAAAUGGGCUCAAAAGGCCUUGGUUAAACAUCGUGACUGAGACCACACAGCUGGGAAGUGAUUGCCUUGCAAUGGUUGAAGGCUGAAGGGAGUCUUUGGAUCUCUGGAGUCCAGGUGAUAAAAGGGAAUAGCUGAUACACAAAUCCAAAUAUGACUUCACGGCCCAGGCCUUUCCUCUUCCUUCACCAUUGUGCCAUGCCACAUCUCGUUUGAAAAUCAAAAGAUGUCUUUUUUUGAAGAGAAAUAAGCAUCCCUUGC
Molecule: long non-coding RNA, 672 nt
Filed under: Homo sapiens (human)
Lineage: Eukaryota; Metazoa; Chordata; Mammalia; Primates; Hominidae
Description: HSALNT0061533
Source: RNAcentral